GACGGAGGGUGCUAGCGUUGUUCGGAAUGACUGGGCGUAAAGGGCGCGUAGGCGGCCGCUUGCGUCGGAUGUGAAAGCCCGGGGCUCAACCCCGGAACGGCAUCCGAUACGGGGAGGCUCGAGACCGAGAGAGGUGAGUGGAAUACCCAGUGUAGAGGUGAAAUUCGUAGAUAUUGGGUGGAACACCGGUGGCGAAAGCGGCUCACUGGCUCGGUUCUGACGCUGAGGCGCGAAAGCGUGGGGAGCAAACAGG
RNAcentral lists this ribosomal RNA (253 nucleotides) under uncultured bacterium. Its description in RNAcentral is "partial 16S ribosomal RNA". It matches the Rfam family "Bacterial small subunit ribosomal RNA", at positions 524 to 776 of the family's 1533-position model. The record is from RNAcentral.